AAAUAUGAUGUGAAAUAAUCAGAACUCUUAAUAUUACAUUGUCAGCUAAUCCAAUCUGGUAGGAUAGGUAAAAAUGCCAAUGCAGAUGCUUUUCAAGUAAGAAAUAUAUUUAUGCAGUUCUUUAAUUUACUUUUUGGUGCCAUAUCUUGGCAGACUAAUCAUAUAAGUUUAAGGUUACAUGAAUAUGACCAUUGAUAUGGUCUGUUAAACUAAAGAAGUUUAAAAAAAGUAAGCAGGCUAUGUAGAUGUAUUAAAAAGGAUUUUUAUGAAAAACAAAGUUGUUGUGUUAACAUAAGUUAAGAAAAAUAUAUAGUAUUAAGACUAAGUAUGUACAGUUUUAGAUUAUGGUAUAAUUACUGUAUAAAUUGUAAAAUACAGUCAUCAAGCUUCCUAUAACACAGUUGGUUAGUACAACUCAGAGGGUUGUCCAAAUUUAUUAAAUCUUGCUAUAUAGAAACAAUGUUACAACAAUAUCGCGUUAUAGGAGGAUUUUCAGAAUUUUUGCACUGUGUUACAAAAGGGUUAAAUAUACAAACCAUUCUGCAAUCCAUGUUUUGCUGCAAUUUGUUUCCAGGCCUUUCCUUUUAAUUCAUUGUCUUUGUACACCGUUGCGUCUUUAUCCCAUACACAUGGAUAUUUUCUGAUAGUCUCAAUAAAUUAUUCAGUUUCUGUUAUACAUAAGCUGUUUCUGUUAUACAUCACUAGUCGUAACAAAUUUAAACUGACAAUUGACAAGUAGAACAAUCGAAAAACAGUGGUAGCACGGUCGUAUACACACGUUUGGCGAUUUCUGUGGUGGGGGUAAGUUAGUGGAUCGCUUAUUUUGUGUUCGGGUUGGGAAAUAUGCGUCGGUGGCUUGUAUCGAUGAGUAGCGGAGGAGAAAUGUGUACAUGACAUGGAGCACGGCUAAAGCAAACAUACACUGUUAGCCAUAAGUACUAGGACUUUUAUUGAUAUUUAGUAUAAAUUACAUGCUACUCAUCGUUUUCAUUUUCUAUUAUUAUAUUAUACAAAACAUAUGAAAAACAUAAAUCAAAGCAAAUAGAGAAGUAGGAAGCACCCGAUAUCUGAAAAGUCACCUAGCUGUGAAAUAUGAUAUGCUGUGCCUACCAUAAAAAAUGUUAUUACAUUUACUUCAUAAGCCUGUUUUGUAUGCAAAUCAGACGUAUCACUUGUAUUAACUUCUAAAUUUAUUUUCAUCAUAUCCUGCAGCUUCAACAAUUUCCUCAAGCUCUCUUAUGAAUAUAGAGGCUCCUUGUGUCCUUGUCUAAUAACACAUGCACAUUCGCACAGAAAAUAUGUAUGUGUAUACCGAUCGGUUACCGGCAAACGGUAUUAGUCUGCAUUCUUGAUUAGACAAGGACUGAAGGAAAGGGUCUCUAUGCAGCGUUGUUUUUCUAUUGUCAUAUCGUAUCCCUUACACGGUAACAUAUGUAUGACAUAUGACUUGUAUAUUAUAUCUUCAUAUCUUCAUGGCCGGUACGAACUCUGAACGUAGAGGCGAUAAUUCGUAGUGCGCACUUUUCGGCUCACUUUUUUAUCAUUUCCCCAUUCAUUUAUGGCGAUAAUUUAGGAAAUAUAUAUACGUAUGUAUGUCCAAAUAAAUUUUAUUACUAAAUUC
Molecule: long non-coding RNA, 1621 nt
Organism: Bombus impatiens (common eastern bumble bee)
Lineage: Eukaryota; Metazoa; Arthropoda; Insecta; Hymenoptera; Apidae
Exons: 2
Source: RefSeq, a predicted model, not a curated record